RNAcentral lists this ribosomal RNA (253 nucleotides) under uncultured bacterium. Its description in RNAcentral is "partial 16S ribosomal RNA". It matches the Rfam family "Bacterial small subunit ribosomal RNA", at positions 524 to 776 of the family's 1533-position model. The record is from RNAcentral.
UACAGAGGGUGCGAGCGUUAAUCGGAAUUACUGGGCGUAAAGCGCGCGUAGGUGGUUUUGUAAGUUGGGUGUGAAAGCCCCGGGCUCAACCUGGGAACUGCAUCCAAGACUGUGAGACUAGAGUAUGGGAGAGGGCAGUGGAAUUUCCGGUGUAGCGGUGAAAUGCGUAGAUAUCGGAAGGAACAUCAGUGGCGAAAGCGACUGCCUGGCCCAAUACUGACACUCAUGUGCGAAAGCGUGGGGAGCAAACAGG